UACGUAGGGUGCAAGCGUUAAUCGGAAUUACUGGGCGUAAAGCGUGCGCAGGCGGUGAUGUAAGACAGAUGUGAAAUCCCCGGGCUCAACCUGGGAACUGCAUUUGUGACUGCAUCGCUGGAGUGCGGCAGAGGGGGGAUGGAAUUCCGCGUGUAGCAGUGAAAUGCGUAGAUAUGCGGAGGAACACCGAUGGCGAAGGCAAUCCCCUGGGCCUGCACUGACGCUCAUGCACGAAAGCGUGGGGAG
This 246-nucleotide ribosomal RNA is filed under the name uncultured bacterium. RNAcentral's name for it is "partial 16S ribosomal RNA". It matches the Rfam family "Bacterial small subunit ribosomal RNA", at positions 524 to 768 of the family's 1533-position model. The record is from RNAcentral.